Molecule: long non-coding RNA, 257 nt
Organism: Bombyx mori (domestic silkworm)
Lineage: Eukaryota; Metazoa; Arthropoda; Insecta; Lepidoptera; Bombycidae
Exons: 2
Source: RefSeq, a predicted model, not a curated record
GUUUGACAGUAAACAUAGUAUGCAUGCGUGUCAAAUACAUGGUAGUGUGUGUAAUGUUUUCUUUAUUGAUUUAAUGUAUCUUUUAUGCAUUAUGUAAAAAAAAAAUUAGCAUUGUGCACUUCUUCUCUAUAUCCUCUAUAGCUUAGCGGUGGUCAGCACAACAUUCAAUUGCUCACGAAUUGAACACUUAUCUUCUGCUACCAUGAAAACUCGAAGUAGUCGAACAUUCGAAAAUAAAUGCGAAAUUAACUCGUAAA